Long non-coding RNA from Meriones unguiculatus (Mongolian gerbil), 1008 nucleotides. RefSeq lists it as uncharacterized. The record is from RefSeq and is a predicted model, not a curated record. The transcript is spliced from 3 exons. Lineage: Eukaryota; Metazoa; Chordata; Mammalia; Rodentia; Muridae.
GGGCGGGGAGUCUUGCGUGUGCUCCACCAGUGAGCUGAUUUUCUCUGCCUUCUGGGUGAGGUUUUGUUUGUUUGUUUGUUUGUUUUUACAGGAAGUGAAGGCUUCGGUGUGGCUCAGUGGUGGAACCCAGAGCCCUGGGUCCGUCCCCAGAAUCACAAACAAGUACAAAGUAAAGAGUCCCUGAAAAGCAGCUCCUUCGGACAUAAUAUUAAGAUGUUUCAAGUGUCAAGUGCCGCUGACCUGGCAACACAGGGUAAUAGUUGCUUCUUGGCUCAGAAAGCAUCCGUCCUGGACUGGAACAGAUCCCGUGGAUUAAGGCCAGGUUCUCAGGACUAAGGAUGUAGUUUGGUGGAUUGUUUGCCUAGAGUGAAGAAGGACCCGGGUUCAACUCCAGGUGUGAUGGUAGAUGCCUAUAAUCCCAGCACUGAAGAGAUGAAGACAGAAAGAUCAGAAGUUCACAGUUAUCCUGUAUCGCACAGUGAAUCUGAGGGCAGCCCGGGCGAACACAGGGUCUUAUGUGCUGGUGCACUUAAGCCCAGCACUCUGGAGGCAGAGGCAGACGGAUCUCUGUUUAUGAGACAAGGUUUUACUAUAUAGUCUUGGCUGGUCUGGAACUCACAAUAAGGCCCCAAAUAAAACAACAAUAAAAACAAAAACAACCACAAACAAGCCAAUGGCAAUUCUAAGUUCUCAAAACUGAAAAGAAAAUUGAUGGCCUGGGUGUUCCCCAGAACUCCACCAAUAGAGGAUGUAUCAUUGCCACUCAGAUCCACUGUUGACCUCAGGGUCAAGUGCCAUUAUAUGUUCUACCCCCUCGGGCAAGUGUGCGCUCCAUGUCUAUUAUGUAGUAUCAUAUCUGUGAUGUUACAUCAUACAGAAUGUCACUGUCCUGGUUCUGCCGUCCUUCCUCCCAUGGCAACCACCAUGUCUUCACGGCUUUGCCUAUUCUGGCAAAAUAAGGACGGAGCCACAGGGCAGGGGCACAGCAUUUUCAGGGCAGCUCUUGAA